AUUGAACGCUGGCGGCAUGCCUUACACAUGCAAGUCGAACGGUAACAGGUCUUCGGAUGCUGACGAGUGGCGAACGGGUGAGUAAUACAUCGGAACGUGCCUAGUAGUGGGGGAUAACUACUCGAAAGAGUGGCUAAUACCGCAUGAGAUCUACGGAUGAAAGCAGGGGAUCGCAAGACCUUGUGCUACUAGAGCGGCCGAUGGCAGAUUAGGUAGUUGGUGGGAUAAAAGCUUACCAAGCCGACGAUCUGUAGCUGGUCUGAGAGGACGAUCAGCCACACUGGGACUGAGAAACGGCCCAGACUCCUACGGGAGGCAGCAGUGGGGAAUUUUGGACAAUGGGCGCAAGCCUGAUCCAGCAAUGCCGCGUGCAGGAUGAAGGUCUUCGGGUUGUAAACUGCUUUUGUACGGAACGAAAAGCCCCGGGUUAAUACCCUGGGGUCAUGACGGUACCGUAAGAAUAAGCACCGGCUAGCUACGUGCCAGCAGCCGCCGUAA
RNAcentral lists this ribosomal RNA (498 nucleotides) under uncultured bacterium. RNAcentral describes it as "partial 16S ribosomal RNA". It matches the Rfam family "Bacterial small subunit ribosomal RNA", at positions 30 to 523 of the family's 1533-position model. The record is from RNAcentral.